Long non-coding RNA from Vicia villosa (hairy vetch), 856 nucleotides. RefSeq lists it as uncharacterized. NCBI's taxonomy places the organism in Eukaryota, Viridiplantae, Streptophyta, Magnoliopsida, Fabales, Fabaceae. The record is from RefSeq and is a predicted model, not a curated record. The transcript has 3 exons.
UCACUUCUUCCACUUUUCAUGCUCCAGUCACUUCUUCUGCAGGUUCUCUCUCUUCCUCUUCUUCUUUCUUAUUUGUUCCUCUACCUCUCUCUUCCUCUCCCCUUUUUCUCUCUUCUGCUUCCUCUCUCUUAUUCUUCUUCUUUUUUCUCUCUUUCCUUUCUUCAACAAAAAUGAUAAUUUAUCAUUCUCUACUUAGAUCUAUGAAAAACCGAUGAUUAUGUUGUUGAUUAUAUUUGUUGUUGUUAUUGCAGGUUUCGAUCAAAUGCGGAUCUCCUCUUCCCUUUUGAUUUUUCAAAUAUGUCUUAGAUUUGAAGUUGGGAAAUAAUGGAAAGGUCGUUAAACGUUGUUCCUCUCAUUUUUCAGUUUAUAUGAGUCUAUAUGAAAGCCAGUGAAACUCUUAAAACAGUACGAUCUGUUUUUGUAACUUCAUCGCUAGAGAGAAAGGAAUCGACAGCAAAACCUGAGAAAAAUCCUCAAGAAGUUGAAAGCUUAGAGAAGCCAGAAGAAGAAUAGCAGUCAAAUAACGGUGGAUAUAGGAUAAGUACCAUGACUAAUUAUAAUAUUGUUGCCUCCGCUACUUCUUAUCUGCACGCUCAUACAAAUAGCAUACUUCCGUUCAAAUAUUCAAAUACGGUGGCCGGUGAAGGAAGCAAUGAAGGUCUUAACAUGACGAACCCUUAUGUGACAUCUUUGAUUUCAAUAGUUGAGACUUAUUGUAAAAUGAAAUUUUAAUUUCAAGAUUUUUUUAAUUUAUUUUUUUAACUACCAAUCAAAAGAAAAUUAUCACUUUUUGGUGCAGGAAAAUAAAAGAGAUUAAAAAUAGAAUAACUUAUAAAUUUUCUUUUUUUAACAUGUG